CCCCUAUUCCCCUUUGGUUGCAGCCGCCCCCCCUUCCCUAUUCCCCUUUGUGGCCGCCACCCCCCCUCUCUCUCUCCCUCUCCUCCCCCCAAGUGAUUGCAGCACCCCCCCCUCAACCCUAGCCGCCCCCCCCUCCUCACCAUGGUGCAUCCUCCCCGCUUGGUACCCCGUCGUGUGGGUGCGAGUCUUCCAUUGGAGUUUGGAGGGAGGAAGAAGGAAGAAUGGAAGGAGGAAAGGAGGAACCCAAGGUGGUGGACUUCCGGAUCGUACUUAGGGAUUUGCCCGAACUUCCGGUAAAGGCAAGUAAAUAUAGUGGUGGUUGCUACCGUUUGGUUUGCAUCCUAUUCCCUGUCAUUGAGUAUGCUUAAGUUUUUAAUUAUGUUAAUCAUUGAAUUCUAUGAUGAAGUUUAUUUGUUUGGAAGUAUUAAUUCUCAAUUGUCUAAUAUUGUGGAUGAUCAUAAUUUGGUUAUGAUAUAUGUGGUUGAUUCCCAUCUUGGACGAAGUUGAAGUAUCUUUUUGAAUCACGUUAUAUGAAGUGUUGUAGGCAUGACAUGCACAUCGCAUCAUCCAUCUUGCAUUUUGAAGUUAUGUCGUGAUCUUAUGGUCCGACCGUACCGGUACAUUUUUAGCAUCGUACGUUUCCCGAGGAGGGGUACGAUGCAGCUUCAUAUCCUUAGAGGUAUGAAGGCAGAAGUCAUCCUUGCAUUUGCAGACAUUUGCAUUCAUGAGGAAUAUAUGAAGUGUGACAUUACUAUGUUACUAUUGUGGUUUUCUACCUGCGAGGUGUGGUAACUAGGUGUGUUGUACGUUGUAUACGUGAUGCACCUUGGUAAUAAGAAGGUUGUGGAAUCAGGUGGUGGUAAAACAAUGUUCUUAUGUGGUUGAAUAGUUUGAUAUUAUUUUACUUGCUGAGAUGUGUCAUCUCACUCUUGCAUUACUCAAUGCAGGUACUUGAUACAUGUUGGGAAUGAGGGGAGUAGCAGCACGUCCACUUACACUCUCACAAUAACGCUGCCCAGGCGCAGCCAUGAUUUAAUUAGAAACUUAUUGUCAAAGGAAGUUUGUUUUUUUAUAUGGUCGUGCGCACUGGUUAAUUCAGUUCAGGUCGUACGUUUAUCUUUCCCUGCUAGCCGAUUAAUAAUACUUAGUAUGUUUUUGUCAUGGUAUAUGUUUAUACCCUGUUGCCCCCCCUAUUUAUGCAAUCUUGCAAAGGGGAUGCUGCCGAAAUUUUAUAUAUGGACGUCAGAAGUGUAGUUUAGUAGCAUUCUGGGUUGUUUGUGGAACCCGGGGUGUUACAGUUAGUCCAUCACUCCAUCUCAUCCACAAUGACCAACCUGUAACAACACCAUGCAAGUCGGAUAACAAGACCAAACAACAACAAAAUUCCAAUAAUCAUAGUGGAUACAAGCGGUUAUUACAUCGUUCUUCUUGGAGUUGUAUCCUUGUUGGAAAACAUGCUAUGAAGUUGCUGAAGUGGCAAAAAUUGUUGCGUCCUUUCUUUCAGUUCUGAAUUUUUCCUGGCAUCUACAUUAUAAAAUUGAUUAGUACAUGCAUACAUUAUAAAUCGAUUAGUACAUACAGGCAUUAUAAAUUGAUUGGUGCAUAUAGUUUUUUUGCGUUUGAUAAUCAUCGAGAGAUCGACCCAGUCUGCAGAAUCAAAGUAGGCGUGCUCGUGGUCCUGCAUUAGGCAUGACAAUAGGAAUUAGAUAAGUGGGAGUGAUCAAAACUUCUAAAUACGCUAGCAUUCAUGUUGUUUGGUCCAAUAGCGUGAGUAGUACCUUGGAUACCAAGGACUUCUUGGGUGCAAUUCCUCUGUACUUCUCCAUGCAUGACUGCAAGCAAAAUGGGUUAAGACGUCACAAACUUGAGCGAAAACCUGUGCCUGAUGCCCAAACUAUGAAUCUGCUCUCUAAAAAAAUAAACGAAAAAAUAGUCGACUUCUGAAGUUGUAUGCCGAACCAUUGAACCUCUUUCGUUCUGGGUUGGGGAAGGCUUGUCCAUUUGUUCAGAGGUCAGCCCAUCAUGCUGCCACAGGACACAGACGCUUCUGAUCUGGUGGACUGACAUGACGGCAUAAAUUUUGACCACUCCAUUAAACAUAAUUCCACGGUUGAAAGCACUGCACCCCAUGGUGAUAAAAAACAAGCAUCCCUUUACAAUUGCUGAAGUAGAACCACUAACAUUGAUCAUUGGUUAGUCUAUUUAAAUCAUUUCGUCUACAUAUUCUAGCCAGAUGUUGGAAUGAAACUUUGAUAUAUGUUCUGAAUAAUUGGUACUUUUAUUUAUACAUUAAAUGGGUUCAAGAUAUACUGAAAGUAUGUUUUGUAUCUGCUAUAUAUAUUCUACAAGUACAACUAUAUGCUAUUAUAAUGGCAAAUAUUAGACCAAAGGUUGUU
Long non-coding RNA from Zea mays, 2396 nucleotides. RefSeq lists it as uncharacterized. Lineage: Eukaryota; Viridiplantae; Streptophyta; Magnoliopsida; Poales; Poaceae. The transcript is spliced from 2 exons. The record is from RefSeq and is a predicted model, not a curated record.